RNAcentral lists this long non-coding RNA (206 nucleotides) under Gallus gallus (chicken). Lineage: Eukaryota; Metazoa; Chordata; Aves; Galliformes; Phasianidae. The record is from RNAcentral.
CAGAAAGUGAUGACCAGUGCAGCACCCAGUGACAGUAUCAAGAGGAGCUCUCAAUGGCAUGUGAGUGCUUGCUUCCGCAUGGAGGAGCAGAGACACCUUGAGAAGUCAUUUACAGAAAGGUGAAAGGCAUCCUCCUGAUUUCACACCACUCUUGUACAGACAGAAAUGAUGCUUCAAACGCACAUCAGAGGAGAGCUGGGCCCCAC